RNAcentral lists this ribosomal RNA (500 nucleotides) under uncultured bacterium. Its description in RNAcentral is "partial 16S ribosomal RNA". It matches the Rfam family "Bacterial small subunit ribosomal RNA", at positions 30 to 523 of the family's 1533-position model. The record is from RNAcentral.
AUUGAACGCUGGCGGAGUGCUUUACACAUGCAAGUCGAACGGCAGCACGGACUUCGGUCUGGUGGCGAGUGGCGAACGGGUGAGUAAUACAUCGGAACGUGCCCAGUCGUGGGGGAUAACGUAGCGAAAGCUACGCUAAUACCGCAUACGAUCUACGGAUGAAAGCGGGGGAUCGCAAGACCUCGCGCGAUUGGAGCGGCCGAUGGCAGAUUAGGUAGUUGGUGGGGUAAAGGCUCACCAAGCCGACGAUCUGUAGCUGGUCUGAGAGGACGACCAGCCACACUGGGACUGAGACACGGCCCAGACUCCUACGGGAGUCAGCAGUGGGGAAUUUUGGACAAUGGGCGCAAGCCUGAUACAGCCAUUCCGCGUGCAGGAUGAAGGCCCUCGGGUUGUAAACUGCUUUUGUACGGAACGAAAAGGCCCUGGUUAAUACCUGGGGCUCAUGACGGUACCGUAAGAAUAAGCACCGGCUAACUACGUGCCAGCCGCCGCCGUAA